This 223-nucleotide ribosomal RNA is filed under the name uncultured bacterium. Its description in RNAcentral is "partial 16S ribosomal RNA". It matches the Rfam family "Bacterial small subunit ribosomal RNA", at positions 118 to 341 of the family's 1533-position model. The record is from RNAcentral.
UGAGCAAUCUGCCCUUCACAUCGGAAUAACCAUUGGAAACGAUGGCUAAUACCGAAUAUGACUUCGGAUCGCAUGAUCUAAAGUGGAAAGCUCCGGCGGUGAAGGAUGAGCUCGCGGCCUAUCAGCUUGUUGGUGAGGUAAUAGCUCACCAAGGCGAUGACGGGUAGCCGGCCUGAGAGGGUGACCGGCCACACGUGGGACUGAGACACGGCCCAGACCUCCG